RNAcentral lists this transfer RNA (66 nucleotides) under Diolcogaster sp. SNS-2016. RNAcentral describes it as "tRNA-His". Lineage: Eukaryota; Metazoa; Arthropoda; Insecta; Hymenoptera; Braconidae. The record is from RNAcentral.
AUUUUUAUAGUUUAUUAAUAAAACAUUGAUUUGUGGAAUCAAAAAAAUUAUUUAAUAUUAAAAAUU